This 1089-nucleotide long non-coding RNA is filed under the name Panax ginseng (ginseng). RNAcentral's name for it is "long non-coding RNA (PGIN_LNC015431)". The record is from RNAcentral. Lineage: Eukaryota; Viridiplantae; Streptophyta; Magnoliopsida; Apiales; Araliaceae.
CAUCUUCAGUCUUUCCAAUUCAUUACCAUUACAUCUUUCCUAUCAUCAUCACCCUAUUACAUGAUGCAUUACAAUACAGAACAUCCAAUACAAUCAAUACAUUACCAUUGCAUCAUGCAAAUCCAAGCCAAAAUUACAAUUGCAGUGACAAUCCAUGACAAUACACAACAAAUUCUAUGUUUUGAGAUUCCCUCUUUAAGUCUAUCAACUUCCAUUUCCUUUAUCAGUGUUUCUUUCUUCAAAAUUUUCAACUUCUGCUUCAGUUUUGCAUUUUUAUCCAUCACUAAGUUCACCUCUUCAAUUGGCUUGCUCAUCGCACUUGUUGCUUCAUCUACAAUGGAAGGCACUUCAACCCAUUCAAAAUAUCCACAAUAUCUCCCAGAUUCCUAUCAAAUUUGGUAUCAUAGAGUUAAAACAGAGUUACAUAACAAACAUGAUUUAACAGAGAGAGGGAUGAAAUGCACAUUACAAAUUGGAUGAAGGAAACUAACCCAUAGUUCCGGCAACCAUAAAACAUUUUGCCUUUUGACCUAUCUUUCUUCGAAACACAAAUACGCGCUGGUACAUCACAAUAACAAAUACGCUUGCCUACACCAGUGGUUGACAAUGAUCUAGAUCGUGAUGAAGUCAUAUCAGAUGCACGGUAACUUCACACUUACCUCAAUACCAGGUAUCAAAUAAAAGCCCUAAUUUUUGUGCACUUGUUGUCUGCAAUUAAGCCCUAGUUAUGAUGUUCUGCACUUCAAUCACUGAUAUAGAUGUUGAAAUGGACCUUUACAUGGAAUAUCUCCUUCGAUCGACGCCUUCCCCCUAGAUCUCGCUUUCCUCUCCGAACUCGAUAGUUGCUUUCCAACUUCGUAGCUUUCUUCUCAGAACUCAUACUCGAUCUCCUGUAACUGAUUGACUUUAUUGCAAACAUCAGCUAAGCCACGUAUUUUAUCAUUUUUAAAAUAAAGCCACGUAGGAAUAAACAACCAAAAUGUCAACGGCUGUUAGCAAAAAUAGACGGAAUGGCCUUAAUUUUUAAUUUUAAAAAGUACAAUGGGCUAAUUGAAUAUUUUUAAAAUUGAAUGGCCAAUUGCUUACAAG